RNAcentral lists this transfer RNA (70 nucleotides) under bovine gut metagenome. It matches the Rfam family "tRNA". Rfam says of the family: Transfer RNA (tRNA) molecules are approximately 80 nucleotides in length. Their secondary structure includes four short double-helical elements and three loops (D, anti-codon, and T loops). The record is from RNAcentral.
AUCUUUAGCUCAAUGGUUAGAGCCCCCGACUCAUAAUCGGUAGGUUAUAGGUUCGAAUCCUAUAAGAUCC